This 497-nucleotide ribosomal RNA is filed under the name uncultured bacterium. Its description in RNAcentral is "partial 16S ribosomal RNA". It matches the Rfam family "Bacterial small subunit ribosomal RNA", at positions 28 to 507 of the family's 1533-position model. The record is from RNAcentral.
GAUGAACGCUGGCGGCGUGACUAAUACAUGCAAGUCGAGCGAACGGACGAGAAGCUUGCUUCUCUGAUGUUAGCGGCGGACGGGUGAGUAACACGUGGAUAACCUACCUAUAAGACUGGGAUAACUUCGGGAAACCGGAGCUAAUACCGGAUAAUAUUUUGAACCGCAUGGUUCAAAAGUGUAGGACGGUCUUGCUGUCACUUAUAGAUGGAUCCGCGCUGCAUUAGCUAGUUGGUAAGGUAACGGCUUACCAAGGCAACGAUGCAUAGCCGACCUGAGAGAGUGAUCGGCCACACUGGAACUGAGACACGGUCCAGACUCCUACGAGAGGCAGCAGUAGGAAAUCUUCCGCAAUGGGCGAAAGCCUGACGGAGCAACGCCGCGUGAGUGGUGAAGGUCUUCGGAUCGUAAAACUCUGUUAUUAGGGAAGAACAUAUGUGUAAGUAACUGUGCACAUCUUGACGGUACCUAAUCAGAAAGCCACGGCUAACUACGUG